Molecule: ribosomal RNA, 370 nt
Filed under: uncultured organism
Description: bacterial SSU rRNA
Rfam family: Bacterial small subunit ribosomal RNA
Source: RNAcentral
CGAAGGGGGCUAGCGUUGCUCGGAAUCACUGGGCGUAAAGCGCACGUAGGCGGAUUCUUAAGUCGGGGGUGAAAUCCUGGAGCUCAACUCCAGAACUGCCUUCGAUACUGGGAAUCUCGAGUCCGGGAGAGGUGAGUGGAACUGCGAGUGUAGAGGUGAAAUUCGUAGAUAUUCGCAAGAACACCAGUGGCGAAGGCGGCUCACUGGCCCGGUACUGACGCUGGGGUGCGAAAGCGUGGGGAGCAAACAGGAUUAGAUACCCUGGUAGUCCACGCCGUAAACGAUGGAUGCUAGCCGUUGGCAGGUUUACCUGUCAGUGGCGCAGCUAACGCAUUAAGCAUCCCGCCUGGGGAGUACGGUCGCAAGAUUA